AUUGAACGCUGGCGGCAUGCCUUACACAUGCAAGUCGAACGGUAGAGUAGCAAUACUUGAGAGUGGCGAACGGGUGAGUAAUAUAUCGGAACGUGCCCAACUGUGGGGGAUAACGUAGAGAAAUUUACGCUAAUACCGCAUACGAUCUAAGGAUGAAAGCGGGGGAGUCGCAAGACCUCGCGCAGUUGGAGCGGCUGAUAUCAGAUUAGCUUGUUGGUGAGGUAAAAGCUCACCAAGGCGACGAUCUGUAGCUGGUUUGAGAGAACGACCAGCCACACUGGGACUGAGACACGGCCCAGACUCCUACGGGAGGCAGCAGUGGGGAAUUUUGGACAAUGGGCGAAAGCCUGAUCCAGCAAUGCCGCGUGCAGGAAGAAGGCCUUCGGUUGUAACUAGCUUUGUUACGGAACGAAACGGUACCGUUUUACUUACAGGGGCGUAAUAGACGGUACCGUAAGAAUAAGACACCGGCGUAACUAACCGUGCCAGCAGCCGCCGGUAAAAGUACU
RNAcentral lists this ribosomal RNA (509 nucleotides) under uncultured bacterium. RNAcentral's name for it is "bacterial SSU rRNA". It matches the Rfam family "Bacterial small subunit ribosomal RNA", at positions 30 to 530 of the family's 1533-position model. The record is from RNAcentral.